RNAcentral lists this unclassified non-coding RNA (756 nucleotides) under Hevea brasiliensis (rubber tree). The record is from RNAcentral. Lineage: Eukaryota; Viridiplantae; Streptophyta; Magnoliopsida; Malpighiales; Euphorbiaceae.
ACCAUUCAUCCCAUCUUCUUAUGCCAUUCCAGAUUCCUUGAUGAAGGGGAGGGGGGAAGCCACAGAUGCUCAAGGUAACUUUUGAGUUUGCUUGCACUCUAAUUGAAGAGGAAAAGCAGAAGUCUUUGAAUUUGCGUUCCACAUCAUUCUUCCAAUUUUGGGAUAAAAUUAAAACCCAACAAAAACUAGUCUUUCUAUUUUUCUAUUUUUCUUUUUUUUUUUCAGCAAUUAUCUACUCUCUCUCUCUCUUUAAGCUUUAGAGAGAGAAAUUUCUCUCCAUUUUGUGAGUCCUUCAAGAGGCCUUUUCUUAUCUCUUUCAAGCAGAGAGAGUACAUUCCUUAAUCUGAAAAGCUUGUGAUUGUGUCAAGAAAAGUUGAUUUUUGCUAAAACCUUACAUGUGGCUACCUAUCAAAGUAGUGUUUGUUAGAAAAUAACAGUAAACUCUGAAUGUGUAUUCACUCUCUUUAAAAGAAUUAUUCCUCCUCCCAUAUUGUUGCGGGAUAAUAUGAGCAAAUCUCUUUAAAAUAAUAAAGCCAAUUUGAAGCUGGUUGAGCUCUACCAUGCAUUCCUGUGAAAGUCAAUUGAAUAAAGCUGCAUGAAGUACGAGACGGAAGAAGGGCUUUAUUUGUGGUUAGGGAAGGCUUCGUUCGUGCUACAAUUGCAUGGACCUUUGACUAUUACUCUUAUAGCCAACAUCAAGCCAUUUCAUUGCUGAAGACAAUUGGCGGGGCGAUUUUGUUGUUCAUUGUUAGAAAA